This 359-nucleotide long non-coding RNA is filed under the name Parus major (Great Tit). RNAcentral's name for it is "lncRNA (ENSPMJG00000008391.1)". Lineage: Eukaryota; Metazoa; Chordata; Aves; Passeriformes; Paridae. The record is from RNAcentral.
CUGAAAGGCCGGCCAGCCGCCCUUGUGCUGUGGGAACACCUCCCUGAAUCCAGCCGGGCUGUGUGUCUGGGGCUGAGCCAGGUGCCCCCUGCUCCACGCUGGGUCCCAUGAGACAGGCAGGACCACCCUGUCCCUCGCUCCCGGGGCCGCAGCAGCCGGCUCUGCCCCCAGAGCGGAGCUGCACAGAGCUGCUGCCACGUGCAUGAGUGGAAAGCAGAGGAGAGGCCAAAGCCCAGUGCACACCUGGCAUCUGAUUCCCCAGCACCCUGCCUUCAUCUGACCCAGGUAGGCACAGCUGAGCUCGGAGCAUUGCUGUAUGUGAUGAUCACAUGUGUUUGUUGUGUUGAGUCCAGGGCUGG